GGACAGACGAUUGAUUAAUUAAAAAUGUUAUGAAUAUUGAUGCAGUAUUUACUAUGUCCUACAUGCUUAUUUACAAUAUUGAAUAAGACAGAUAUGGAUAUGUCUUCACAGCCUGGGGACCGGUGGGAUAAAGGGAUGAAUAAAUAAACAGGCAACUAUGUUACACUGUGGUGGGAUUAUGGGAUAGGAGGACCUUCUGUCCUAGCCUUGCUUGGGGGAGGGGUGAGGCAGUUUCCGGAGGCUCCUCAGCCUGAGCCGGAGGGACACCCAGGCAGGCUCCUCCCCACACCAUUGCCACUGCUGUUGCCAUCACUCAACUGGACCAUUGCAAGAGGCUCCCGAUUGACCACCCUCUCCAAGGGUCUCUCCCGGCUCCCACACACGGAAUCAGUCACUGUAUGUCACUAUUUGUUAAUGGACCCAUCCCGCCGGAUAAGCUGUGAAACUGCCCCGUCUGUGGGGAAACAGCCCCUCGAGAGCCAGGACAGGAACUUCCCCUUUAUGGCGUCAGUACCUAGAGCUCAGGGAGUGCUUGUGGAAAACAGGCAUAAAGGCCCACAGAGAGAAAGGAGGGUCUUUACCGUCCAGGGGGCUGUCCUCUCCCCGCAGGGAUGUUCUCCACGAGCUGGAGAGGCAAGUGUCCCAGACAUGGGGUUUUUUCACAGGUGUAAGCUCUCCAGAAGCAGCCGCUCCUCUCCGGAAUGUGGAAAUGUGCCAGAGGCCAGCUGCCUGAGGGCCAGAACCCAGAGGCGAUCUUCUGUUUUGCACGCCAUUUUCUUUACAGCUCUUCCGGGGACCUUGCUGCCAGCCCUGCAUGCCCUGGGGCCCAGAUUCUCUGGAUGCCCCCACAGUUCACACGUGCCCUGGGCUGUGGCUUCUGCGGGGCACCCACCUCUGGGCUGGGCCACCACAGAGAAAUAAUAAACAGCAGCACUGCUUCCAGAGCCCUCUGCACCCGCAGGGCACGGUCUCACUUAACCCUCGAAACUACUGGUCCCACCAACAAGUAUUUAACGAGAGCCCGUUUGCGCUGGGGGUCGAGAAGGACACGGUGAUGCAUUUUGUGCUUCAGGAGCUGACAAUUCAGCUGCAUGACUGUGAAAGUCACUGAACUUCUCUGACCUUGUCUGACCGUGAGCAUCAGCCAUCCUCAGGGUGAGUUCCUACAGGGCAGCUGCUCUGAGUCCCUGAGUUGGAGGCGUAUGAGGAGACCACACAGUAGAACUACCAGCUGCUAGUAGAAACACCACGACGCACAUGAGCAUUCUUCCAGAAUCACUUAACCCCAGAACUUCCAGGCCUCGUCUAGUCAAUGCAUCAGCACUGUCUGAGUCUCUGCCGCAUCCAUGUGAUUUUUUCUCAGCAACAGGAGGACUUUGGAGAUCAUCAAAAUAGUAAUGGCGGUUAUCUCAGGACAAUGGGCUUAUGGUGAAUAGUAUUUCUGUUUUGCGCGGCUUUCUGUAUUUUCCAAAAUAUCUAAAACACAACUGUAAUAAUUUGCCUUGAGGCAAGGAAGGAUGAAAUAUAUUACAGCCAUACGCCUUUUAAAGAAAAAGAUCUGUUUUGGUUUUCUGUUCUAAAACCAUGUGUGGGUGGCUCAGUCGGUUGAGCAUCUGACUCUGGAUUUUGGCUCAGGUCAUGAUCUCACAGUUCGUGGGAUCGAGCCCCACGUUGGGCUCUGCGCUGAAAGCUCAGAGCCUGCUUGGGAUGCUCUGUCUUCCUCUCUCUCUGCCCCUCCCCUGCUCAUGUUCUCUCUAUCUCUCUCUGAAAAUAAAUAAAUGUUGUUUUAGAAAUUAAAAAAAAAGAGUUUAAAAAAUGUGAUUCCAGAAAUUUCCUCAGUUUGCCUCAUCUAUAAAAUAGGAAUACUGAUUUCUUACUGGGUCAUGAACUUGGAAUGCGGUCAUAAACUUGGAAAGUACUUUAUAAUCACGUUAGGUAUCACUGCUGUUGGCAUCAGGAGCAAUCACCUAUGGCAAGAAGAUGUGAAGGUCCUUUCUCAUUGAUACUUAAUACAGCCUCACCACAACCUUGUGAAAUACAGGUUGUUUUGCAAUUUUACUAAUGAGGAAACAGAGAGGGGGCAUGAUCCAUCUGAGGCCACACAGCAGAGGCAGGAGGAUUCAAGCCUUGAUCUCCCGACUCCAAGUCCUGCUUACCUGCAAGUCUUUGAGGGCUGACACCAUAUCUGUAAAUGCCUCGUGGGGCCUGCCCGACAGUCCCGAGCUGACUGUGUGGCCUUAAAACAGCUGUACCCCUUAUCCUCAGCUUCCCCACGAGUGAAACCAAGAAAUAAUCUUUAUCCUCCUUUCUCGACGUGUGUGAGACACAACCUGGAGCAGUUGCGGGCUUAUUAUAAGCACUCGUAUGGGCAUUGAUUAGUAAGCUGCAUAAUCCUUAGGACCCAAGGUCUUCCCCAGAAUAUUCUUUUCCAAAUGGAGUUUCU
Long non-coding RNA from Neofelis nebulosa (Clouded leopard), 2443 nucleotides. RefSeq lists it as uncharacterized. The transcript has 3 exons. Lineage: Eukaryota; Metazoa; Chordata; Mammalia; Carnivora; Felidae. The record is from RefSeq and is a predicted model, not a curated record.